AACGAACGCUGGCAGCAUGCCUAACACAUGCAAGUCGAACGAGACCUUCGGGUCUAGUGGCGCACGGGUGCGUAACGCGUGGGAACCUGCCCUUAGGUUCGGAAUAACUCCCCGAAAGGGGUGCUAAUACCGGAUAAUGUCUUCGGACCAAAGAUUUAUCGCCUUUGGAUGGGCCCGCGUUGGAUUAGCUAGUUGGUAGGGUAAAAGCCUACCAAGGCGACGAUCCAUAGCUGGUCUGAGAGGAUGAUCAGCCACACUGGGACUGAGACACGGCCCAGACUCCUACGGGAGGCAGCAGUGGGGAAUAUUGGACAAUGGGCGAAAGCCUGAUCCAGCAAUGCCGCGUGAGUGAUGCAGGCCUUAGGGUUGUAAAGCUCUUUUACCCGGGAUGAUAAUGAUAGUACCGGGAGAAUAAGCUCCGGCUAACUCCGUG
Molecule: ribosomal RNA, 433 nt
Filed under: uncultured bacterium
Lineage: Bacteria
Description: partial 16S ribosomal RNA
Rfam family: Bacterial small subunit ribosomal RNA
Source: RNAcentral